CUGGAUGCUGACGAGCGGCGGACGGGUGAGUAAUGCAUAGGAAUCUGCCCGAUAGUGGGGGAUAACCUGGGGAAACCCAGGCUAAUACCGCAUACGUCCUACGGGAGAAAGGGGGCUCCGGCUCCCGCUAUGGGAUGAGCCUAUGUCGGAUUAGCUAGUUGGUGAGGUAACGGCUCACCAAGGCCACGAUCCGUAGCUGGUCUGAGAGGAUGAUCAGCCACAUCGGGACUGAGACACGGCCCGAACUCCUACGGGAGGCAGCAGUGGGGAAUAUUGGACAAUGGGCGAAAGCCUGAUCCAGCCAUGCCGCGUGUGUGAAGAAGGCCCUCGGGUUGUAAAGCACUUUCAGCGAGGAAGAACGCCUAGCGGUUAAUACCCGCUAGGAAAGACAUCACUCGCAGAAGAAGCACCGGCUAACUCCGUGCCAGCAGCCGCGGUAAUACGGAGGGUGCAAGCGUUAAUCGGAAUUACUGGGCGUAAAGCGCGCGUAGGUGGCUUGAUAAGCCGGUUGUGAAAGCCCCGGGCUCAACCUGGGAACGGCAUCCGGAACUGUCAAGCUAGAGUGCAGGAGAGGAAGGUAGAAUUCCCGGUGUAGCGGU
Molecule: ribosomal RNA, 599 nt
Filed under: Vreelandella aquamarina
Lineage: Bacteria; Pseudomonadati; Pseudomonadota; Gammaproteobacteria; Oceanospirillales; Halomonadaceae
Description: bacterial SSU rRNA
Rfam family: Bacterial small subunit ribosomal RNA
Source: RNAcentral